GAUGUCCGUGAUGAGGACAGAGAUGCAACUGUGAGUAUCUACCAUUUUAGAAUGUUGAUAUUUUAUGCUUCAAUAUUGUUUAUGUACAUAAUGUAAUUAUGCUAUGUAUUGACAAUGCACAAAGAUGUUUUCCAUCUGCAUCCAGGACCUACUGCCAGUCAUCCAGAUGUAGCUCAAGAAAGAAGCAGCUGAAGGAGGAAGGCAGAGAGUACUGGCAGCAGAGGAGGUGGCAUUCUGGGAGGAUGGCAGCUAUGAGGGGGUGUCAGGAUGGCCUGUGGUGAGGUUGAGACCCCAAGUUCCCCCAACCAGAAUCUCAGUGACGUCGGGUCUAAGCUACAGGAGAGACGUUGGGCCUGUCCUGAACGGAGCAUAAUGUUGGAUCAUGUUUGGGCAAAAAAAAAACACUGCCAGAUAGUCCAGAAAUGGACAAGCAUUUAUGUCUUAUUUUGUGUGCAAACAGUAAAAAAAAACAAAAAAACAAAUGAAAGAAAAAAAAUUCUGUGCCUCAAUUAUGUUCCUCAUAUAUGAACAUGUUGCAUAUAAGCAAUAUCAAAUGAAUAUAUUUUAGUACAGCAUUUAUUUUUUAUAUAGAUUUUUUUAAAUACAGCGUUAAAAAUAUUAAUGAUUGGGGCGGGGUUUAUUUAUAAAGACAUAAGUGCUGUCCAAUGGGCACACAUCAACCAACCAAUCACAUGUCAAUGAUGAACUGUGAUGUCACUGUUUUUCAUCCAAUGACUGAGAAUCCACGUGGGUCUACUGAAGCGCCUUUGCAUAUGCUAGGCCAGUGGUUCUUAACCUUUUUUGAGGUACCGAACCCACCAGUUUCAUAUGCGUAUUUACUGAACCCUUCUGUAGUGGUAAAUAAUCCCCCCAAAUUCAAGACAUAGGGGUGACCCAACUAGAGUCUAGUUGGGUCAACCCCAAGAUCACCAAGUCUUCUUA
Molecule: long non-coding RNA, 942 nt
Organism: Poecilia latipinna (sailfin molly)
Lineage: Eukaryota; Metazoa; Chordata; Actinopteri; Cyprinodontiformes; Poeciliidae
Exons: 2
Source: RefSeq, a predicted model, not a curated record